GGGCUAUUUGCUUCCGGAAAAUAAUGUAGUAAUCUCAAAAAAUGACUUCAAGAAUUUAGCAAUACUCUCUACCCUUUUCCAUUCCUCAUCGGAAAGACUAUUUAAAAUCAAUAUCAAGAAAUUUAUAUUGAAUAUAAGCUUGUUGGUAGAGAAGAGCGCUAUCAAGCAUUUGGUAAGUGGAAUUCCACCGACUACUUACAUCUUCACAAAGCUUCUUCGAACAUGGCAACCCAUGAUUCAUAAUGCAUUCCACAAACUUUAAUAUUCUUCCUUCUGAAUUUUUAAUGUGCUUAACACCUUCUCUUACUUUUUCAAUGGCGUCAUCUGCUUUUUCC
RNAcentral lists this unclassified non-coding RNA (335 nucleotides) under Hevea brasiliensis (rubber tree). Lineage: Eukaryota; Viridiplantae; Streptophyta; Magnoliopsida; Malpighiales; Euphorbiaceae. The record is from RNAcentral.